Molecule: long non-coding RNA, 347 nt
Organism: Bombina bombina (fire-bellied toad)
Lineage: Eukaryota; Metazoa; Chordata; Amphibia; Anura; Bombinatoridae
Exons: 3
Source: RefSeq, a predicted model, not a curated record
GCUCAGAAUUGGAAGCUUUGUGAAUAUGUGAAAGGUUUUGUUCUAGUUAACAACACUCAAGUUUCCUUGAUCGUUAGAAUGGACGUGGAUACCGUGCUGGCCAAAGUCGGCUUGGGAAAAGCUGACGACAUAGAAGCAGUCCUGGGGAAGUACAAUACAGAGAACCGUACAAUGUUUACGUUUGAUCCUUCUGAUGAAGAAAAAAGAACGGUGCUGACAAUAUAGAAAUCACACCGGCAACCAGUUAAAAUGGUGAAAAUGUACUCAACUUUCUGUUGUGUGCCACAUGGAGAAGAGAGAUCAGCAAAGAAUUGAGGAUUUGAGAACAAAAAUUAUGGAAAAUCAUG